GACGAACGCUGGCGGCGUGCUUAAUACAUGCAAGUCAACUGAACUUGAGGUAGCAAUAUCACAAGAGAGGUGGCGCACGGGUGAGUAACACGUAGGUAAUCUGCCUUUAGGUCUGACAUAAUUCCGCGAAAGCGGGACUAAUAUCAGAUGAUGCAGCGGCUCGACAUCGAGACAGUUGUUAAACCUUCGGGGCCUAAAGAUGAGCCUGCGUCGAUUAGGUAGUUGGCGGAGUAAAAGCCCACCAAGCCUGCGAUCAGUAGCUGGUCUGAGAGGAUGAUCAGCCACACUGGAACUGAGACACGGUCCAGACUCCUACGGGAGGCAGCAGUAAGGAAUAUUGCUCAAUGGCCGAAAGGCUGAAGCAGCAACGCCGCGUGGAGGAUGAAAUUACUUUU
RNAcentral lists this ribosomal RNA (395 nucleotides) under uncultured bacterium. Its description in RNAcentral is "bacterial SSU rRNA". It matches the Rfam family "Bacterial small subunit ribosomal RNA", at positions 28 to 421 of the family's 1533-position model. The record is from RNAcentral.